Long non-coding RNA from Lolium rigidum, 1864 nucleotides. RefSeq lists it as uncharacterized. NCBI's taxonomy places the organism in Eukaryota, Viridiplantae, Streptophyta, Magnoliopsida, Poales, Poaceae. The transcript is spliced from 9 exons. The record is from RefSeq and is a predicted model, not a curated record.
ACAUUCUGGAGCAUUGGAGCAGCAUUAUUCAAUUUUUCUUUAUUUAAUGAAUUUCUUCAUUGGAUUUUUCUUGAAUUUUCAUGUAUAUAUUUGUUCUUAUGUGACACAUCCGAGCUACGGACAUAAACAUGCGCUGACAUAAUUUUACUGCUACAUGCAGGGUUUGGCUCUCCGAUGCAGCUCUUUCAGGAUGCACUUGAAACCCUCUGUGUCGUCCUAGCUACUGUUAGACACCUCUAUUGCUCCUUGCAUUCGAUAACGGCUCCAUGAAGCUUUGCAUCCUCAAGAUAAGGAUCUGAUUGGUGUCAUGGUAAUACACAUGGUGAUGACAAGGUCCCUUAGUCCUGCCACCCAAGGCAGGGAUUUGAGCAGACUUGGAUGCUCGUGACAACCAUUCUCCAGGAUCGAAAUAUUGUCAAUGGGAAAUCAAAGGUGUUCCUUUGAGAAUCGAGAUCGGUCCAAAAGAUUUGUCAAAUAAGCAGAUAGGCUGGAACGAAUAUUUGCCUGUGGCAGCGAUGUCCUUUUCUUGAUCUGCAUGGUUAAGUGUAAAAUGGCGCAUACAUAAUGUUGCCGGCGCCGGCCACGAACCCAAACUGUUGCUCCUCGAUCAUGCCGACCACCACAUCAUCCGCCACUACCUCCCCAAGCUUCUGCUGCCCCUACCCUUGGACAUGGCUUCUUGCUCUUCCUACGGUAACAUGGUUUUUUUUGUCCUGGCUUUGACAUUGGUGGCGGAUGUGGGCCGCUGCUGGUGUCGCCGGAGAGGAUGCCACCGUCCUUGUGUCCUGCUGCUCGACGACAACUACGGUGACGAGAAAUGGGAGAUGGGAGAAGAAGAAAUCUGCGCAAAAGGAGAAGAAGAAAGCUGAACAAGAGACAUUUCUAACAAAUACUUUGAUUCUUCGAAAAGCUCUACACUUUAAGUCCACUAAUUUAGUAUUUAUUUCAGGUUCACUCCAUGAAAAUGAAAAAUAAAAGAUCAAAUGCAAAAAAGAAAAUCAUCCGAGAGUGACAGCCUACAACAAGAGGAGACGAAAUAUGAGGUAGCUAUUUCUUUAGUUACAGCACAAUUCAAGUAUCUUUGUUUGUCAUCUCUUUAUUUUCACUACAUACCUGAGCACAUAUGUCUUUUACCACUUUAUCUGGACCAGGAAUCUUUUUUCUUGGACAUUAGUUUUUCUUUUUUGAAACGCGGGCAAAAGCUUUGCCCUUUCUAUUAAUUAAGGAGAAGUUUUACAAGAAAAAAAAGGUGUUGGACUAUCGAUACUUUGGCUCAUGCGUUGGAAAAGGCAACGGGACAUGGGCUUCUCAAUAAGAUCCGAGGGCGGGGUACCAUCCUCCGCACAUCUCUUUAUGCGGAUGAUGCGGCGGUUUUGUAGCCCCUAUUAAAGAAGACAUUCAAAACCUCGCCCACAUCCUCAAUGACUUCGGAAAGGUUACCAGGCUAUGCACAAACUUCCUCAAGAGCUCCGUAGUGCCCAUAAGGUGUGCCAACAUUGACCUCGAUGACAGCCACAAUACCAUAUGGAGCAAUUCAUCAAUGACAGCUGCAUCACCAUAUGGAGGUUCAUCGUCUGUCGUUAUGCCUCCAAUUCUAGGAAAAUAUACAAGCAUGUUGUAUCAAGUUCAGCAAAGCUCCGCUCCUGUGUCCAGUUCUCUGCAAUUACGCUUUGAUGGAACUGGAGAAGUCCAACAAUACGAUGGAUCAAAGUUAGAGAUGAAUUGUGUAAUUUAAGGAUGUUGGAUGCAGACCUUUGUUAUAAUCUUUUAUGCACUUGGAAAUUUUAAUGUAAUAGCUAAUAGGCACAGGGUAGUAGAAAGUAAAUGAAUUUAUGUUUCGGAAUCUGGAUUCUCCACAGUGUAU